This 488-nucleotide long non-coding RNA is filed under the name Elaeis guineensis (African oil palm). Its description in RNAcentral is "long non-coding RNA (EGUI_LNC028701)". The record is from RNAcentral. Lineage: Eukaryota; Viridiplantae; Streptophyta; Magnoliopsida; Arecales; Arecaceae.
CUCCAAUCUUAACCUGAUAUCCGAACUGAAAACAUCUGAAUUUUUAGAUAGGAUCUUAUCAUGGUAUCAGUGUCCCUCAUUUCAGAUUUCGUUCCUUUAAGAGAAAAUGUUGAGAAAUAAUAGUUCCACAUCAGAUACGUUAAAGUCUCUUAUAUGUCCUGCUUAUAUUUUUACUAUAUUCUGAUGCGGAUGUACCAAGAGAGGGUUGCUGCAAUUCACAGGGAACACAGCACGGAACAAGUGGAGCAUUAUGGCCUUUUUCCUAAUGCAUGGUGGGGAGGAAGCAGUUGGAAGAUAGGGAACACAGUGGCCAUACCUGCUCCAAUAAAAACCACUUGUUUCUUGCAUCCUUUUCAACAACAUAGAGAACUUGUGCCUGCCCCUUAGCAGGAACGACAGAGAGAGAGAGGAGCAGCCGCCCCAACAAGAACAAGUUGUGGAUACUCUCUCACAUGUUCGCUGGAGGUAGGCUGAGAUGCUGCCGCCCA